This 253-nucleotide ribosomal RNA is filed under the name uncultured bacterium. Its description in RNAcentral is "partial 16S ribosomal RNA". It matches the Rfam family "Bacterial small subunit ribosomal RNA", at positions 524 to 776 of the family's 1533-position model. The record is from RNAcentral.
UACGGGGGGGGCAAGCGUUGUCCGGAGUGACUGGGCGUAAAGCGCGCGCAGGCGGUUAGACACGCCGGUCGUGAAAGCCCCCGGCUCAACCGGGGCGGGUCGAUCGGGACGGUCUGACUGGAGGGUGUCAGAGGGGGGUGGAACGCCGCGUGGAGCAGUGAAAUGCGUAGAUAUGCGGCAGAACACCGGAGGCAAAGGCGGCCCCCUGGGGCACAUCUGACGCUGAGGCGCGAAGGCGCGGGGAGCGAACGGG